CAGAAAAGAAAGGGGUUAAGGAAAACAGAAGAAUGAAAGCCAGAGAGAGAGAACCUGAGCCAAGACAGACCCAGGAUUACAGCUGCCAGCCAAUGGAGCAGCAGGAUUUGAAACAAAAACAACCAAUCCACGCAGUCAUUCAACAUCAAAAGGCAAAAGGGGGAGGAGGAGAGAGGAAAAAGGACAAAGUAAUGGUGGAUCCCAAAACACAGAAGAGAGCCAAGAUCUCUUCCUCUGACUGAGCUAUUAGGACAGCAAUUGAUGCCCAGUGACACACUGGUUUGGAUCUCCACUGCCAGAGGUUGAUCACAGAAUCAUGAUGGACCUACAAAUGCCCAGAGAAGCAUUUUGUCUAGGAACUCCUUUGCAUGUGCACAAACCAUAAAGGAGAUCUCAUCAAAGGCUAUGGACUACUUCAGGGAGCAGGAAGAAGAAAAGAUACAAGACAAGUACUGUACUCCAGAAGUUUAUUUAUUUAUUGCAAAUAAUUAAUACUGUU
Sceloporus undulatus (fence lizard) is the source of this 499-nucleotide long non-coding RNA. RefSeq lists it as uncharacterized. NCBI's taxonomy places the organism in Eukaryota, Metazoa, Chordata, Lepidosauria, Squamata, Phrynosomatidae. The record is from RefSeq and is a predicted model, not a curated record. The transcript is spliced from 3 exons.